UACAGAGGGUGCAAGCGUUAAUCGGAUUUACUGGGCGUAAAGCGCGCGUAGGCGGCUAAUUAAGUCAAAUGUGAAAUCCCCGAGCUUAACUUGGGAAUUGCAUUCGAUACUGGUUAGCUAGAGUGUGGGAGAGGAUGGUAGAAUUCCAGGUGUAGCGGUGAAAUGCGUAGAGAUCUGGAGGAAUACCGAUGGCGAAGGCAGCCAUCUGGCCUAACACUGAUGCUGAGGUGCGAAAGCAUGGGGAGCAAACAGG
RNAcentral lists this ribosomal RNA (253 nucleotides) under uncultured bacterium. RNAcentral's name for it is "partial 16S ribosomal RNA". It matches the Rfam family "Bacterial small subunit ribosomal RNA", at positions 524 to 776 of the family's 1533-position model. The record is from RNAcentral.